RNAcentral lists this ribosomal RNA (1358 nucleotides) under uncultured Bacteroidales bacterium. RNAcentral's name for it is "bacterial SSU rRNA". It matches the Rfam family "Bacterial small subunit ribosomal RNA", at positions 28 to 1380 of the family's 1533-position model. The record is from RNAcentral. Lineage: Bacteria; Pseudomonadati; Bacteroidota; Bacteroidia; Bacteroidales.
GAUUAACGCUGGCGGCGGGCCUAACACAUGCAAGUCAUGGGCGUAGAUUAGGUAGCAAUACCGGAUUUACGACCGGCGCACGGGUGAGUAACGCGUAUGUAACCAACCGUUCGGAGCGGGACAACCCGGAGAAAUUCGGGCUAAUACCGCGUAACGCACAGAGGAGGCAUCUUUUCUGUGCCAAAGGAGCGAUCUGCCGGACGACGGACAUGCGUAUCAUUAGCUAGUUGGGGAGGUAACGGCUCACCAAGGCAACGAUGAUUAGGGGUUCCGAGAGGAUUAACCCCCACACCGGGACUGAGACACGGCCCGGACUCCUGCGGGAGGCAGCAGUGAGGAAUAUUGGUCAAUGGUCGGAAGACUGAACCAGCCACGCCGCGUGCGGGAAUAAGGCCCUACGGGUCGUAAACCGCUUUUAGGGGAGAGCAACAGUUUCCAUGCGUGGAAUUACGAGAGUAUCCCCGGAAUAAGCAUCGGCUAACUCCGUGCCAGCAGCCGCGGUAAUACGGAGGAUGCGAGCGUUAUCCGGAUUCAUUGGGUUUAAAGGGCGCGCAGGCUGUAUGACAAGUCGGCGGUGAAAGAUUCGGGCUUAACCCGGAAUGUGCCGUCGAAACUGUCGUGCUGGAAUACGGACGAAGCUGGAGGAAUGUGCGGUGUAGCGGUGAAAUGCAUAGAUAUCGCACAGAAGGUCGAUCGCGAAGGCAUCCGGCCAGUCCGUUAUUGACGCUGAGGCGCGAAAGCGCGGGGAUCGAACAGGAUUAGAUACCCUGGUAGUCCGCGCUGUAAACGAUGAUGACUCGCCGUCGGGGUAUUAUACUUCGGUGGCUAAGCGAAAGCGAUAAGUCAUCCACCUGGGGAGUACGGCCGCAAGGCUGAAACUCAAAGGAAUUGACGGGGGCCCGCACAAGCGGAGGAACAUGUGGUUUAAUUCGAUGAUACGCGAGGAACCUUACCCGGGCUCGAACGGCUUGCGAAAGGCGGGGAAACCUGUCUGUCCUUAGGGACGCAAGUCGAGGUGCUGCAUGGUUGUCGUCAGCUCGUGCCGCGAGGUGUCGGCUCAAGUGCCAUAACGAGCACAACCCCUGUCGUCGAUUGCCAACGGGUCAAGCCGGGGACUACGACGAGACUGCCGGCGCAAGCUGCGAGGAAGGGGGGGAUGACGUCAAAUCAGCACGGCCCUUACGUCCGGGGCGACACACGUGUUACAAUGGGCGAUACAGAGGGUAGCGAGGCAGCGAUGCUGAGCCAAUCCCGAAAGUCGCUCCCAGUUCGGAUCGGAGUCUGCAACUCGACUCCGUGAAGCUGGAUUCGCUAGUAAUCGCGCAUCAGCCAUGGCGCGGUGAAUACGUUCCCGGGCC